Molecule: ribosomal RNA, 466 nt
Filed under: uncultured bacterium
Lineage: Bacteria
Description: partial 16S ribosomal RNA
Rfam family: Bacterial small subunit ribosomal RNA
Source: RNAcentral
GACGAACGCUGGCGGCGUGCUUAACACAUGCAAGUCGAACGGAAAGGCCCUGCUUUUGUGGGGUGCUCGAGUGGCGAACGGGUGAGUAACACGUGAGUAACCUGCCCUUGACUUGGGAUAACUUCAGGAAACUGGGGCUAAUACCGGAUAGGAGCUCCUGCUGCAUGGUGGGGGUUGGAAAGUUUCGGCGGUUGGGGAUGGACUCGCGGCUUAUCAGCUUGUUGGUGGGGUAGUGGCUUACCAAGGCUUUGACGGGUAGCCGGCCUGAGAGGGUGACCGGCCACAUUGGGACUGAGAUACGGCCCAGACUCCUACGGGAGGCAACAGUGGGGAAUAUUGCACAAUGGGCGGAAGCCUGAUGCAGCAACGCCGCGUGCGGGAUGACGGCCUUCGGGUUGUAAACCGCUUUCGCCUGUGACGAAGCGUGAGUGACGGUAAUGGGUAAAGAAGCACCGGCUAACUACGU